Molecule: ribosomal RNA, 480 nt
Filed under: uncultured bacterium
Lineage: Bacteria
Description: bacterial SSU rRNA
Rfam family: Bacterial small subunit ribosomal RNA
Source: RNAcentral
GAUGAACGCUGGCGGCGUGCUUAACACAUGCAAGUCGAACGAAGCACUUUAUUUGAUUUCCUCGGAAUGAAAAUUUUGUGACUGAGUGGCGGACGGGUGAGUAACGCGUGGGUAACCUGCCUCAUACAGGGGGAUAACAGUUGGAAACGACUGCUAAUACCGCAUAAGCGCACAGUACCGCAUGGUACGGUGUGAAAAACUCCGGUGGUAUGAGAUGGACCCGCGUCUGAUUAGCUAGUUGGUGAGGUAACGGGCCCACCAAGGCGACGAUCAGUAGCCGACCUGAGAGGGUGACCGGCCACAUUGGGACUGAGACACGGCCCAAACUCCUACGGGAGGCAGCAGUGGGGAAUAUUGCACAAUGGGCGAAAGCCUGAUGCAGCGACGCCGCGUGAACGAAGAAGUAUUUCGGUAUGUAAAGUUCUAUCAGCAGGGAAGAUAAUGACGGUACCUGACUAAGAAGCACCGGCUAAAUACGUG